AAUAUUGGUCAAUGGAGGCAACUCUGAACCAGCCAUGCCGCGUGCAGGAAGACGGCCCUACGGGUUGUAAACUGCUUUUGUACCGGAAUAAACCCUCUUCCGUGAAAGAGGUUGAAUGUACGGUAAGAAUAAGGAUCGGCGAACUCCGUGCCAGCAGCCGCGGUAAUACGGAGGAUCCAAGCGUUAUCCGGAUUUAUUGGGUUUAAAGGGUGCGUAGGCGGCUUAUUAAGUCAGGGGUGAAAGACGGUGGCUCAACCAUCGCAGUGCCUUUGAUACUGAUGAGCUUGAAUCUACCUGAGGUAGGCGGAAUGUGACAAGUAGCGGUGAAAUGCAUAGAUAUGUCACAGAACACCAAUUGCGAAGGCAGCUUACUAAAGUGGUAUUGACGCUGAGGCACGAAAGCGUGGGGAUCAAACAGG
This 419-nucleotide ribosomal RNA is filed under the name uncultured bacterium. RNAcentral's name for it is "partial 16S ribosomal RNA". It matches the Rfam family "Bacterial small subunit ribosomal RNA", at positions 360 to 776 of the family's 1533-position model. The record is from RNAcentral.